GCCAGUGUGGUGUAGUGGUUUGAGCAUUAGACUAUGACCCUGGAGUCCAGGGUUCAAAUCCCCAUUCACC
This 70-nucleotide transfer RNA is filed under the name Phrynosoma platyrhinos (Desert horned lizard). Its description in RNAcentral is "tRNA-OTHER". The record is from RNAcentral. Lineage: Eukaryota; Metazoa; Chordata; Lepidosauria; Squamata; Phrynosomatidae.